GACGAACGCUGGCGGCGUGCUUAACACAUGCAAGUCGAGCGGUAAGGCCCUUUCGGGGGUACACGAGCGGCGAACGGGUGAGUAACACGUGGGUGACCUGCCCUCAGCUCUGGGAUAAGCCUGGGAAACCGGGUCUAAUACCGGAUAUGACUCCAUGACGCAUGUUGUGGGGUGGAAAGCCUUGUGCGGCUGAGGAUGGGCCCGCGGCCUAUCAGCUUGUUGGUGGGGUGANGGCCUACCAAGGCGACGACGGGUAGCCGGCCUGAGAGGGCGACCGGCCACACUGGGACUGAGACACGGCCCAGACUCCUACGGGAGGCAGCAGUGGGGAAUCUUGCGCAAUGGGCGAAAGCCUGACGCAGCGACGCCGCGUGAGGGAUGAC
RNAcentral lists this ribosomal RNA (383 nucleotides) under uncultured bacterium. Its description in RNAcentral is "bacterial SSU rRNA". It matches the Rfam family "Bacterial small subunit ribosomal RNA", at positions 28 to 412 of the family's 1533-position model. The record is from RNAcentral.